Molecule: ribosomal RNA, 301 nt
Filed under: uncultured bacterium
Lineage: Bacteria
Description: partial 16S ribosomal RNA
Rfam family: Bacterial small subunit ribosomal RNA
Source: RNAcentral
CAGCGCCGCGGUAAUACGAAGGGUGCAAGCGUUAAUCGGAAUUACUGGGCGUAAAGCGUGCGUAGGCGGUUUGUUAAGUCUGCUGUGAAAUCCCCGGGCUCAACCUGGGAAUGGCAGUGGAUACUGGCAAGCUAGAGUGUGUCAGAGGAUGGUGGAAUUCCCGGUGUAGCGGUGAAAUGCGUAGAGAUCGGGAGGAACAUCAGUGGCGAAGGCGGCCAUCUGGGACAACACUGACGCUGAGGCACGAAAGCGUGGGGAGCAAACAGGAUUAGAUACCCCAGUAGUCCCUGUCUCUUAUACA